This 793-nucleotide ribosomal RNA is filed under the name uncultured Thermococcus sp. RNAcentral describes it as "bacterial SSU rRNA". It matches the Rfam family "Archaeal small subunit ribosomal RNA", at positions 85 to 876 of the family's 1478-position model. The record is from RNAcentral. Lineage: Archaea; Methanobacteriati; Methanobacteriota; Thermococci; Thermococcales; Thermococcaceae.
ACGGCUCAGUAACACGUCGGUAACCUACCCUCGGGAGGGGGAUAACCCCGGGAAACUGGGGCUAAUCCCCAUAGGCCUGAGGUACUGGAAGGUCUUCAGGCCGAAAGGGACUUAUGUCCGCCCGAGGAUGGGCCGGCGGCCGAUUAGGUAGUUGGUGGGGUAAUGGCCCACCAAGCCGAAGAUCGGUACGGGCUGUGAGAGCAGGAGCCCGGAGAUGGACACUGAGACACGGGUCCAGGCCCUACGGGGCGCAGCAGGCGCGAAACCUCCGCAAUGCGGGAAACCGCGACGGGGGGACCCCGAGUGCCGUGGCAACGCCACGGCUUUUCCGGAGUGUAAAAAGCUCCGGGAAUAAGGGCUGGGCAAGGCCGGUGGCAGCCGCCGCGGUAAUACCGGCGGCCCGAGUGGUGGCCGCUAUUAUUGGGCCUAAAGCGUUCGUAGCCGGGCCCGUAAGUCCCUGGCGAAAUCCCACGGCUCAACCGUGGGGCUUGCUGGGGAUACUGCGGGUCUUGGGACCGGGAGAGGCGGGGGGUACCCCUGGGGUAGGGGUGAAAUCCUAUAAUCCCAGGGGGACCGCCAGUGGCGAAGGCGCCCCGCUGGAACGGGUCCGACGGUGAGGGACGAAGGCCAGGGGAGCAAACCGGAUUAGAUACCCGGGUAGUCCUGGCUGUAAAGGAUGCGGGCUAGGUGUCGGGUGAGCCUCGAGCUCGCCCGGCGCCGUAGGGAAGCCGUUAAGCCCGCCGCCUGGGGAGUACGGCCGCAAGGCUGAAACUUAAAGGAAUUGGCGGGGGAG